Acanthosepion pharaonis is the source of this 115-nucleotide non-coding RNA. The record is from the annotation of a GenBank genome assembly. NCBI's taxonomy places the organism in Eukaryota, Metazoa, Mollusca, Cephalopoda, Sepiida, Sepiidae.
UUACGGUCAUAUCUCGUUGAAAACACCGCUUCUCGCUCGAUUACCGAAGUUAAGCAACGUCGAAACUGUUCAGGACCUAGAUGGGUAAACGCUUGGGAAUACCGGGUGUUGUAAG